AGCAGCCGCGGUAAUUCCAGCUCCAAUAGCGUAUAUUAAAGUUGUUGCAGUUAAAAAGCUCGUAGUUGAAUUUCGGGAUCAAUUUAUUGGUCGUGCUAUUGUACGUACUGGUAUUAUUGAUUCCUACCUUCUGACGAACCAUGAUGUCAUUAAUUUGGUGUCAUGGGGAAUCAGGACUGUUACUUUGAAAAAAUUAGAGUGUUUAAAGCAAGCUCACGCUUGAAUACAUUAGCAUGGAAUAACGAAAUAGGACGUUUGAUUCUAUUUUGUUGGUUUCUAGGAUCGACGUAAUGAUUAAUAGGGAUAGUUGGGGGCAUUAGUAUUCAAUUGUCAGAGGUGAAAUUCUUGGAUUUAUUGAAGACUAACUACUGCGAAAGCAUUUGCCAAGGAUGUUUUCAUUAAUCAAGAACGAAAGUUAGGGGAUCGAAGACGAUCAGAUACCGUCGUAGU
RNAcentral lists this ribosomal RNA (450 nucleotides) under uncultured Glomeromycotina. RNAcentral describes it as "SSU rRNA". It matches the Rfam family "Eukaryotic small subunit ribosomal RNA", at positions 569 to 1024 of the family's 1831-position model. Lineage: Eukaryota; Fungi; Glomeromycota. The record is from RNAcentral.